Molecule: long non-coding RNA, 636 nt
Organism: Paramacrobiotus metropolitanus
Lineage: Eukaryota; Metazoa; Tardigrada; Eutardigrada; Parachela; Macrobiotidae
Exons: 2
Source: RefSeq, a predicted model, not a curated record
UGUUAUGCCACUUAUAUAAAAGCGAAAAUGUAAUUUUUCCAAACCAGUAACUGCAAAAAUAUUUGCUUGAUAGACUUUCCCGUGGGUGUACAGAGUACGAGGUUAUAGCACAGUUAACCGUUUACCCAUUAUACUUGUAUAGUCCAGUUUUACAAGCAAGCCUAUCUCCGACCAGAUAAAAUGCCGUCGACAGGCAAUGUCACUUAUGCAGACGGGAAGGUGUGGUGGACCUGUCCAUUGUGCAACAAUCGCACAUGGGUGCAUACCUACUACGACAAAUAUGUAGGACGACCGUGUCUCAACUGCCAGCCUCCCACUCUGAUGGAGCUGCCCGGGGCGGUAUGGACAACUCUUUUCGGCUGGCUAUUCUAAUAACAUCGUGGUUUGUCAGCUGUUUGGCAAAGCUACUGCUAUAAACUAACUUUAUCUGAUAUGGCGAUUAGCGUUGUACUGGGUCGCACUGCGGCACGUUUGUAUGCGAAUAACCUUUACGUUUUAUGCUGCUUAUAACCUUGCAGUUCCAGUAAUUUUUGAUAUUAUUCUAUUCAGCUUCUGCUUAAUGAUUUCAUAAUGGGCAGCAUUAAUGUGGAAUUCUGAAGAGUUGCUUUAAAAUUAAAGUUGUAACACUGUCGAAAA